AUCGGUCUUGAAUAGGCCAGUAUAGAAUAAGUGUUUAAUUAUACUUAUCGAUUGAAGGCGAAGAGAAAUCAAAUCAUGUGAUUUUGUAGACUAAUAUCAAGUCACAAACGCAACAUGUGCCUGCUCGUAUGCCAUUGAUAGUUAAAUAUCAUGGUGAGCGGAGUAAAGAGAUACUUGAUUGGUACCCGAAAGAUGGUGAACUAUGCUUGGGCAAGUUGAAGCCAGAGGAAACUCUGGUGGAGGAUUGUAGCGAUUCUGACGUGCAAAUCGAUCGUCAGACCUGAGUAUAGGGGCGAAAGACUAAUCGAACCAUCUAGUAGCUGGUUCCUUCCG
RNAcentral lists this ribosomal RNA (333 nucleotides) under Aceria tridentatae. RNAcentral's name for it is "partial large subunit ribosomal RNA". It matches the Rfam family "Eukaryotic large subunit ribosomal RNA", at positions 672 to 963 of the family's 3401-position model. Lineage: Eukaryota; Metazoa; Arthropoda; Arachnida; Trombidiformes; Eriophyidae. The record is from RNAcentral.